GAUGAACGCUGGCGGCGUGCCUAAUACAUGCAAGUCGAGCGAACAGACGAGGAGCUUGCUCCUCUGACGUUAGCGGCGGACGGGUGAGUAACACGUGGAUAACCUACCUAUAAGACUGGGAUAACUUCGGGAAACUGGAGCUAAUACCGGAUAAUAUAUUGAACCGCAUGGUUCAAUAGUGAAAGACGGUUUUGCUGUCACUUAUAGAUGGAUCCGCGCCGCAUUAGCUAGUUGGUAAGGUAACGGCUUACCAAGGCAACGAUGCGUAGCCGACCUGAGAGGGUGAUCGGCCACACUGGAACUGAGACACGGUCCAGACUCCUACGGGAGGCAGCAGUAGGGAAUCUUCCGCAAUGGGCGAAAGCUUGACGGAGCAACGCCGCGUGAGUGAUGAAGGUCUUCGGAUCGUAAAACUCUGUUAUUAGGGAAGAACAAAUGUGUAAGUAACUAUGCACGUCUUGACGGUACCUAAUCAGAAAGCCACGGCUAACUACGUG
Molecule: ribosomal RNA, 497 nt
Filed under: uncultured bacterium
Lineage: Bacteria
Description: partial 16S ribosomal RNA
Rfam family: Bacterial small subunit ribosomal RNA
Source: RNAcentral